UACUCGAGUGGCGAACGGGUGAGUAACACGUGGGUGAUCUGCCCUGCACUUCGGGAUAAGCUUUGGAAACUUGGUCUAAUACCGGAUAGUAACCAUCUUUAGUGUGGUGGUUGGAAAGUUUUUUCGGUGUAGGAUUAGCUCGCGGCCUAUCAGCUUGUUGGUGUGGUAAUGGCCUACCAAGGCGGCGACGGGUAGCCGGCCUGAGAGGGUGUACGGCCACAUUGGGACUGAGAUACGGCCCAG
RNAcentral lists this ribosomal RNA (243 nucleotides) under uncultured Actinomycetales bacterium. RNAcentral's name for it is "partial 16S ribosomal RNA". It matches the Rfam family "Bacterial small subunit ribosomal RNA", at positions 88 to 334 of the family's 1533-position model. Lineage: Bacteria; Bacillati; Actinomycetota; Actinomycetes; Actinomycetales. The record is from RNAcentral.